This 517-nucleotide ribosomal RNA is filed under the name Helicobacter pylori. RNAcentral describes it as "partial 23S ribosomal RNA". It matches the Rfam family "Bacterial large subunit ribosomal RNA", at positions 1739 to 2267 of the family's 2925-position model. Lineage: Bacteria; Pseudomonadati; Campylobacterota; Epsilonproteobacteria; Campylobacterales; Helicobacteraceae. The record is from RNAcentral.
AUUUAAGGUGUGCCGCAGCAAUGCGGUCUCAGCAAAGAGUCCCUCCCGACUGUUUACCAAAAACACAGCACUUUGCCAACUCGUAAGAGGAAGUAUAAGGUGUGACGCCUGCCCGGUGCUCGAAGGUUAAGAGGAUGCGCAGUCGCAAGAUGAAGCGUUGAAUGAAGCCCGAGUAAACGGCGGCCGUAACUAUAACGGUCCUAAGGUAGCGAAAUUCCUUGUCGGUUAAAUACCGACCUGCAUGAAUGGCGUAACGAGAUGGGAGCUGUCUCAACCAGAGAUUCAGUGAAAUUGUAGUGGAGGUGAAAAUUCCUCCUACCCGCGGCAAGACGGAGAGACCCCGUGGACCUUUACUACAACUUAGCACUGCUAAUGGGAAUAUCAUGCGCAGGAUAGGUGGGAGGCUUUGAAGUAAGGGCUUUGGCUCUUAUGGAGCCAUCCUUGAGAUACCACCCUUGAUGUUUCUGUUAGCUAACUGGCCUGUGUUAUCCACAGGCAGGACAAUGCUUGGUGGGUA